GACGAACCGUCCAAACGUUAUUCGGAAUCACUGGGCUUACAGAGUUCGUAGGCGGUCUGGAAAGUUGGGUGUGAAAUCCCUCGGCUCAACCGAGGAACUGCGCUUGAAACUACCAGACUCGAGGGAGAUAGAGGAAAGCGGAACUGAUGGUGGAGCGGUGAAAUGCGUUGAUAUCAUCAGGAACACCGGUGGCGAAGGCGCUUUCUGGGUCGUUACCUGACGCUGAGGAACGAA
This 234-nucleotide ribosomal RNA is filed under the name uncultured bacterium. RNAcentral's name for it is "partial 16S ribosomal RNA". It matches the Rfam family "Bacterial small subunit ribosomal RNA", at positions 524 to 757 of the family's 1533-position model. The record is from RNAcentral.